This 253-nucleotide ribosomal RNA is filed under the name uncultured bacterium. Its description in RNAcentral is "partial 16S ribosomal RNA". It matches the Rfam family "Bacterial small subunit ribosomal RNA", at positions 524 to 776 of the family's 1533-position model. The record is from RNAcentral.
UACGUAGGGUGCGAGCGUUGUCCGGAUUUAUUGGGCGUAAAGAGCUCGUAGGCGGCUUGUUGCGUCCGCUGUGAAAUCCCGGGGCUUAACCCCGGGCGUGCAGUGGAUACGGGCAGGCUAGAGGCAGGCAGGGGAGAACGGAAUUCCUGGUGUAGCGGUGAAAUGCGCAGAUAUCAGGAAGAACACCCGUGGCGAAGGCGGCUCUCUGGUACGUGACUGACGCUGAGACGCGAAAGCGUGGGGAGCGAACAGG